Molecule: regulatory RNA element, 114 nt
Organism: Oryctes borbonicus
Lineage: Eukaryota; Metazoa; Arthropoda; Insecta; Coleoptera; Scarabaeidae
Rfam family: Potassium channel RNA editing signal
About the family: This family represents a group of sequences related to the human potassium channel Kv1.1 hairpin element which directs the efficient modification of an adenosine to inosine by an adenosine deaminase acting on RNA (ADAR).
Source: Rfam
GUGGGGUACGGUGAUAUGGUGCCCAAGACUUAUAUUGGCAUGUUCGUAGGCGCCCUUUGUGCCCUAGCGGGUGUAUUAACGAUAGCAUUGCCCGUACCUGUUAUUGUAUCCAAC